This 239-nucleotide ribosomal RNA is filed under the name uncultured bacterium. Its description in RNAcentral is "partial 16S ribosomal RNA". It matches the Rfam family "Bacterial small subunit ribosomal RNA", at positions 95 to 334 of the family's 1533-position model. The record is from RNAcentral.
CCGGCGCACGGGUGAGUAACACGUAUCCAACCUGCCGUCUACUCUUGGACAGCCUUCUGAAAGGAAGAUUAAUACAAGAUGGCAUCAUGAGUCCGCAUGUUCACAUGAUUAAAGGUAUUCCGGUAGACGAUGGGGAUGCGUUCCAUUAGGCAGUUGGCGGGGUAACGGCCCACCAAACCGACGAUGGAUAGGGGUUCUGAGAGGAAGGUCCCCCACAUUGGUACUGAGACACGGACCAA